RNAcentral lists this unclassified non-coding RNA (200 nucleotides) under soil metagenome. RNAcentral describes it as "partial contains internal transcribed spacer 2 and large subunit ribosomal RNA". The record is from RNAcentral.
CUCGCGCCCAUCCGGGCUGCGGUGUUGGGGAUCGGCCCGCCCUCCGGGGCGCGCCGUCCUCCAAAUACAGUGGCGGUCUCGCUGCAGCCUCCCUUGCGUAGUAGCACACCUCGCACUGGAGAGCGGCGCGGCCAUGCCGUUAAACCCCCAACUUUCAUGAGUUUGACCUCGGAUCAGGUAGGAAUACCCGCUGAACUUAA